AUGUCCUCGAGCUCCCUCCCGCUCCUCGCCCUCCUGGCCCUGCUGGCCCUGCCAGGGCUCCGGGCGGCCGUGACCCUGCUGGAGUCCGGGGGGGACCUCCAGCCCCCCGGGGGGUCCCUGACUCUGCUCUGCCGCGGGUCUGGAUUCAAUUUCGGGAGUUCUGGAAUGGGCUGGAUGCGCCAGAGCCCCGGGAAGGGACUGGGAUACGUUGCAGGGAUCAGCGGCACUGGUGCAUACACCUACUACGCGCCGUCAGUGCAGGGCCGGUUCAGGAUCUCCAGGGACAACGGGCAGAGCUCGGUGACGCUGACCAUGAACAACCUCAAGGACGAGGAUUCCGGCGCCUAUUUCUGUGCCAAACAUGCUGAUGCUGGUUGGGGUGCUGGUGCUGCUCAUGUUGGUGAUUUCGAUGCAUUCAAAGCCACCAGGUCCCCACCUGUCACAAAAUGUCCCCAAACCCCUUUUCCUGACAUCUCCACCCUUGACCCCAUUUCUGUCCCCCUGGCCCAGCCUGGAACUGGUUCCGCCCCAAAUCUCCCCCCCUGA
Molecule: non-coding RNA, 546 nt
Organism: Oenanthe melanoleuca
Lineage: Eukaryota; Metazoa; Chordata; Aves; Passeriformes; Muscicapidae
Source: the annotation of a RefSeq genome assembly